UUCCUACGGGGGGCAGCAGUGGGGAAUAUUGCACAAUGGGGGAAACCCUGAUGCAGCGACGCCGCGUGAGUGAAGAAGUAAUUCGUUAUGUAAAGCUCUAUCAGCAGGGAAGAAACAGACGGUACCUGAGUAAGAAGCCCCGGCUAACUACGUGCCAGCAGCCGCGGUAAUACGUAUGGGGCAAGCGUUAUCCGGAUUUACUGGGUGUAAAGGGAGCGUAGGCGGCAGGGCAAGCCUGAUGUGAAAGCCCGGGGCUCAACCCCGGGACUGCAUCGGGAACUGCCCCGCUCGAGUGCCGGAG
RNAcentral lists this ribosomal RNA (301 nucleotides) under uncultured bacterium. RNAcentral describes it as "bacterial SSU rRNA". It matches the Rfam family "Bacterial small subunit ribosomal RNA", at positions 336 to 654 of the family's 1533-position model. The record is from RNAcentral.